This 705-nucleotide ribosomal RNA is filed under the name Triticum aestivum (bread wheat). Its description in RNAcentral is "partial small subunit ribosomal RNA". Lineage: Eukaryota; Viridiplantae; Streptophyta; Magnoliopsida; Poales; Poaceae. The record is from RNAcentral.
AUGAGGAUCACCAGACAAUGCAACCUGCCACUUUCUUUGGGUAAGCAUUAUCGCUCAAAUGUGUUGUGUGAUGUGGUUGACAUGGAUGCCAGCCAUGUUCUUCUUGGGAGGCCUUGGCAAUUUGAUGUGGAUACUACACACAAGGGCAAGGAAAAUUCUUACUCUUUCAUUUGGAACAAGAGAAAGAUCAUUAUCUUACCAAACAAAACCGAAGGUAAUACCUCUAAGGAGGAGGGGAAAACUAUGUUAACUAUCUCCCAUACCUCUCAUGAGUUUAUGGAAGACUUGAAGGAGGCAGAUUUGUGUGCUGCACUUGUUGUAAAGGGAGAAGAGCACCUGACUGUUGAAAUUCCAGCAAAGGUACAUGGUUUAUUGGCAGAAUUUCAGAACAUACUUGGGGAUCCACAUGGCUUGCCACCGAUGAGAGGAAUUCAACAUAGAAUUGACUUAAUUCCGGGAGCAAGUCUUCCUAAUCUUCCACACUAUCGAAUGAGCCCAAAGGAGCAUGAUAUAUUGAAGGGGAAAGUGGAGGAAUUGCUGCAAAAGGGGCACAUUCAAGAAAGUAUUAGCCGAUGUGUUGUACCAGCCCUACUCGCGCCAAAGAAAGAUGGAUCUUGGCGCAUGUGUACGGACAGUAGAGCCUUUAACAAGAUCACCGUAAGGUAUAGAUUCCCUAUUCCCCGUCUGGAUGAUAUAUUGGAUUAG